AGACAUAUUCUAGUAGGACAAUGAAAACUGAAAGGCUAAAAACUCACCCAGCUGGUAAGCAACUGAGCUAGGACUGGAACCAGGUCUCGCCCUGAGGCCCAAACUGGGCACAUCGGAGGGUGAUUUAACCUUCAGGCAUGGCUGGAUCCAGCAGCCCAACAUGAUGCCAUCGAAAAUGUUUCUCUCUCUCUCUUUCUCUGCACUACCUCUUCUGUGUUGACUGCUUUUUCAGGGACAAGGGAGAUGAGAUACUGAUUCUCCAGCACCCAUCUGUGAUUGUGCUGCCCGGGGCACUGACCGCACAGCACCUCUGUCUGCCCCAUGCAAGGUCUGAGAGCAUUAGAGAAAAUCCUCAGAUGGAGCAUCUCAAGUGCUUGAGGGGCUGUCCAGAGGGAACUGGGACCACGGAAGGAGAGGCUGUCCUGUGGGUGCCGGAGUCAUGGAGAAGACAGAGCCACUGCCUCCCCGAGAUGCCUCCCAAAACACGGUGAAAGACAUUUCCUCAGCAGACACUUGAGGGCACUUCCUGAGAGCAAGUGUUGAUGAGGAGCAGAAGGCACGAGAACACUGGGAAGAAGCGAGGUGCCACCCCAUAGAAAGAGACCCCAGCGUGGAGCCAGACAGACCCGGAGUCAAGUCCCGUAUCUGCCACUUGCCUGCUCAGGGUGACAACCUAGAAGGUGCCACCAUGUAAAGGAGGGACAUGGCCAGAGGACCCUGCCUGGUACCCUAGGAUGCCCAGUACCUUCCCCUCCAGAGGCUGUCAGAAGCUGUUUCCACAUCGCCCACCUCCCCCCUGAAGCCCUGAGAGAGGAGGGACAGACAGAUGGGCUUAGCGGUGAGCCCCAGAAAAUUCAGAAAUGGGGCCAUAACCUGGGUCAGCUGACCCUUCAACCACCACACCGAGGCAACCCAAAGGUGCCUGGACUAUCACUCAGGGGACCUUUAUGGGAAAAGAAAAACUCUAGAACUCUUCUGAACACCUUCCUACCUCCCCGCGCCUGUUACUCUGUUGGUUAUGGCUUUGGAGACAGGCAGAACUGACUCCGAGAUGCGGUUCUAGAACUUCCUAGGUGUCUCCUCAUGUUCUUCAACCUCCCCGAACUUCAGCUUCCCCAGUCGUAGGAUGGGUGCCAUGAUGUCUCUCGGACAGGGUGUCCUCAGGGAUCCCACUCAGCACAGAGUAGGUGGCUGUCCUUUUGAUGGUGGUGGUGUUAUGAUGAGGAGCGGGAGGAAGAAGGGGACACACCGCUGAGGGAGAAGGCAGGCUGGGUGCCACAAUGGCACGCUGCAUGGCCACCACUCCCUGGCAGAGCUGCUCCUUGGGUUAACUUCCUCCUGUCUCCCUCUGCCCCGCUGCUCCCGCCCACCCCUUCCUCCCCAUCCUGCAAGGGUGAAGUUAGCGUACCACUGGGGUUAGCAGAAGGUACAAACUGGAUUAGAUGUUAAAUCAAUUUGGCCUUCCUCCCCUGGGAUGGCACAAGCAGGUUCCAUAUGAAUAAUGAUUUGUCUGAGGCAGCAAACUGGAUUAUUUGAUCAAAAAGGGGAAAAAACAACUCAUGUUCAUUUUUUAAUAAUGGCUUUUGCAUCCAGUCUCCGAGCUUGGCUGAGAGGGGAGGGCAGGGGUGGCUGGCGGAUGAGCUGGAAGAGAGACAAUAACAAAACGGUCUUUCCUCUGAGAGCCUCUGUUCCCACCUCAGACUCCAGUGGGGGCUGCCAAAUCCGGCCCCGAAGAGGGGGUUUCUGUUCCUACAUCGCUGAAUUAAAAUGGGAAGAAUAAGAGCAUUUAUCCCAGGCAUGCCCUGCUCUGUCCCUUCGCAUUUUCAUAGCUUGUUUCAUCUUACCCUGGCGUAGGCUCUAAAACUCAAUUCGGUAGAUGAAGAAAUGGAAGCUUCUAGAACGGAGUUUCUCAAACUCGGUGCUGUUGACGUUGGGGGCUGGACAGUUCUUGGGCGUGGGGGCCAUCCUGUGUGCUGUGGGAUGCUGAGUAGCACCGCUGACCCCUACCCAGCAGAUGUACCCUCCCCCCAAGUUGUGACAACCAAAACUCUCUCCAGCCGAGCGUCGCCCGUGGGACAGAAUCCGUGCUGGUUAACAGUUUCUGUUCUAAAUUGGUGAAGUGAGUAGUAGAUCGCACAAGGAAUGAUGAGUUUACCUGGGAUUCAGACUCAGGAAGUCCCCCUCCCCCCCAUGUCUGCUCCUGACUGCUUACCCAUAUGAGCGAGCUCCGACCCUAUGAGGGAGGCGUUCAAGUGCCAAAGAGAGACACCGCCGGUGUUCUGGCAAGUUCCCAAGAGGGACAGGCAGUGUUUCAGGAGAGCAAGGCAAGGCUUUGUAGAAUGAGGCUGGCUUUCUACCACGAUAUCAGGAAACACUCACACUGUACCCCAUUCGUACCAAUUGUUAACCAACUCAGAAAGAAUUCCUCUCUUCUCCUUAGCAGGCCUGUAUUACCAUAGGACCACCACCACGAGCAAACAAACACCACUCAGUUAGUAGGAUUGAUUGAAAUUUGUCAACAAAAUCAUGGUGCGAUGGUUUCCCAUUGUGGAAAAUGUGUGUUUUGUUUUUCUUUUUUCUGUGUAUUUACACGGUAAUACGCUCCGUUGGAGCUCUUGCGCACAAAGUCGGACUUUUCUGAUCCUGUGCUAGGGAAUCCACUGUGGAAACUGCUUGCUUAUCCACUAGGAGAGCUGUUCUCUGAGGAGGAGCUGCUAGAUGCUUCUGGAGGUUGAGCACAGACUGCAGAGCUAUGGGGCCUGGGUUCGAAUCCCAGCCCUGCCUCUUAUUGGCUGUGUGACCUUGGGUGUGUUACUUAACCUCUCUUUGCCUUGGUGUGUUCAUUUGUAAAAUAAAAAAUAGCGAAAAUAAAUGAAUAAUUGUACCUACCUUAGCAAGCACUGACAGUUCAUUCGCAUAAAGGAAUUAACAUAAAUGUG
Long non-coding RNA from Mirounga angustirostris (Northern elephant seal), 2939 nucleotides. RefSeq lists it as uncharacterized. Lineage: Eukaryota; Metazoa; Chordata; Mammalia; Carnivora; Phocidae. The record is from RefSeq and is a predicted model, not a curated record. The transcript is spliced from 6 exons.